ACGACAUCGACGAGGAACGUUUUAGUUCUCCCUUGAAGAAGUUACCGGUAGAAAUAUGGUGAGGUGUUGGGUCCAUUGAGGAGGGUUAUCUAUACAGGCGGCCUUUUACAGUGUUAAGUGUAUUUUGUUUUGACCUUUAAGACAUUUUUUGGGGUCUUUUUAUUUCUUGACGUGUCGCCAGAUCGACUUAUUCAUUCAUAGAUCGUUAAGUAUACAGGAACUGGGCUCUUCUUGAAUUUUCUGGAUCUAUCGUGGACUGGAUUACUGUGCGACAAACUUAACUGCUUUGAGGACAUCUGCCAAUAAUAAGUUAUUCCUAUUCAGGUAAAGGCUUCGUGGGCAGAUAACGAGGAGAGAAGACUUUCCAGAAAAUUGGAUAGACUUCUUGACAAGUCUGUUCGUGUGACUGGCGUUGUUCAGGUGCUUUUAUAUGCUUAUUUGUUUGUUAUAAUUAUUGGUGAUGUCCCCCAGCACAAAUUAAAAUAAAUAUAUGCAGCUAUUAGCUAUUGGUAGAUUGAAUCUGGAGGCUUUCUUCUGUACCAUCCUGAAAUGGUGCAUGAAUUUAAUUCUUAUACUAAACUAGUUUAUAAAAUAUCUAAGAAAUAAUUGCACUGCACAAAAUAAGAAAAUAAGAUAGAUUGAUUGAUGCAAAAAUACACCAUGGCCUCACGACAACCUAGGUCAUGAACGCUAAAUUAAAGUAAAUAUAUGCAGCUUCUUAGUUACUGGUAUAUUUAAUCUGGAAGGUUUCUUGUGUACCCUCCCUAAAUUGUACAUAAUUUAAAUUUUUAUACUACAUUAUUUUUUAAAGUAUCGAACAAAUAUUGAAGAAAUUUAACUUGAUAAAGCUGCUUGUUGCUCAAGUGGUGAUAUUACUUUUCUAUGAAGGAAUUCAUAUUCUGUUUGUCUAGAAAUAGCGGAUAAUAGUAAAUAAAAUUGGAGAAUGGUUAAAGGCUAUUCGGUACCUUUUUGAAUCUAAAUCCUAAAAAACUGGCUUCAUUUUGCGACUAAGCCAUUUGUAAGCAAUGGCUCAAACUGACAUAAAUUCAUCAAACUGAUACAAAUUUCUGACAAGUUAAUAUGGCUUCUAGUUCACUUUAGAGGGGUGAAUGAUAGUUAAUAGUGGUUCGGAAUCUGUGGAAACCUUACAAUUUUUACCCAAUCUGAUUCUGACUUAAGACAAAGUAUGUAAGCACCUUAUCCUGGUUAAUUAAAA
Long non-coding RNA from Macrobrachium nipponense, 1216 nucleotides. RefSeq lists it as uncharacterized. NCBI's taxonomy places the organism in Eukaryota, Metazoa, Arthropoda, Malacostraca, Decapoda, Palaemonidae. The transcript is spliced from 4 exons. The record is from RefSeq and is a predicted model, not a curated record.